Molecule: transfer-messenger RNA, 356 nt
Filed under: Nitrospinota bacterium
Lineage: Bacteria; Pseudomonadati; Nitrospinota
Rfam family: transfer-messenger RNA
About the family: Bacterial tmRNA, also known as 10Sa RNA or SsrA, is named for its dual tRNA and mRNA-like properties. Its role is to liberate the mRNA from a stalled ribosome.
Source: RNAcentral
GGGGGCGUAACGGUUUCGACGGGAAUUCGUAUCCCGGAAGAGGCAUGUCGAGGUCCACGCCUCGUAAAAAUGUGGAAAAAAUCAUAAUCGCCAACGAUUUUGAUUACGCUUUAGCCGCUUAAUUUAAGCCGGCUACGUUCUUUGUGUAGCCCUCCCGAGGCGCCGCAAAGGAUGUUAUACAAAUUCGGGAUGGUUCCCUGUCAGGCAACUUGGCAGGGGGCGAGAUUUUAGUUGCUGGCAUUUGAGACGACCUGUCUUUAGGCACGAUGAAUGCGAGAAAACAAUUAAAGACUAAGCAUGUAGUCUCUCCGUGAGAAGGUUUUCGGACAGGGGUUCGACUCCCCUCGCCUCCACCA